This 1436-nucleotide ribosomal RNA is filed under the name Escherichia coli O26:H11. RNAcentral's name for it is "bacterial LSU rRNA". It matches the Rfam family "Bacterial large subunit ribosomal RNA", at positions 1448 to 2864 of the family's 2925-position model. The record is from RNAcentral. Lineage: Bacteria; Pseudomonadati; Pseudomonadota; Gammaproteobacteria; Enterobacterales; Enterobacteriaceae.
GUGUUACUGCGAAGGGGGGACGGAGAAGGCUAUGUUGGCCGGGCGACGGUUGUCCCGGUUUAAGCGUGUAGGCUGGUUUUCCAGGCAAAUCCGGAAAACUAAGGCUGAGGCGUGAUGACGAGGCACUACGGUGCUGAAGCAACAAAUGCCCUGCUUCCAGGAAAAGCCUCUAAGCAUCAGGUAACAUCAAAUCGUACCCCAAACCGACACAGGUGGUCAGGUAGAGAAUACCAAGGCGCUUGAGAGAACUCGGGUGAAGGAACUAGGCAAAAUGGUGCCGUAACUUCGGGAGAAGGCACGCUGAUAUGUAGGUGAAGUCCCUCGCGGAUGGAGCUGAAAUCAGUCGAAGAUACCAGCUGGCUGCAACUGUUUAUUAAAAACACAGCACUGUGCAAACACGAAAGUGGACGUAUACGGUGUGACGCCUGCCCGGUGCCGGAAGGUUAAUUGAUGGGGUUAGCGCAAGCGAAGCUCUUGAUCGAAGCCCCGGUAAACGGCGGCCGUAACUAUAACGGUCCUAAGGUAGCGAAAUUCCUUGUCGGGUAAGUUCCGACCUGCACGAAUGGCGUAAUGAUGGCCAGGCUGUCUCCACCCGAGACUCAGUGAAAUUGAACUCGCUGUGAAGAUGCAGUGUACCCGCGGCAAGACGGAAAGACCCCGUGAACCUUUACUAUAGCUUGACACUGAACAUUGAGCCUUGAUGUGUAGGAUAGGUGGGAGGCUUUGAAGUGUGGACGCCAGUCUGCAUGGAGCCGACCUUGAAAUACCACCCUUUAAUGUUUGAUGUUCUAACGUUGACCCGUAAUCCGGGUUGCGGACAGUGUCUGGUGGGUAGUUUGACUGGGGCGGUCUCCUCCUAAAGAGUAACGGAGGAGCACGAAGGUUGGCUAAUCCUGGUCGGACAUCAGGAGGUUAGUGCAAUGGCAUAAGCCAGCUUGACUGCGAGCGUGACGGCGCGAGCAGGUGCGAAAGCAGGUCAUAGUGAUCCGGUGGUUCUGAAUGGAAGGGCCAUCGCUCAACGGAUAAAAGGUACUCCGGGGAUAACAGGCUGAUACCGCCCAAGAGUUCAUAUCGACGGCGGUGUUUGGCACCUCGAUGUCGGCUCAUCACAUCCUGGGGCUGAAGUAGGUCCCAAGGGUAUGGCUGUUCGCCAUUUAAAGUGGUACGCGAGCUGGGUUUAGAACGUCGUGAGACAGUUCGGUCCCUAUCUGCCGUGGGCGCUGGAGAACUGAGGGGGGCUGCUCCUAGUACGAGAGGACCGGAGUGGACGCAUCACUGGUGUUCGGGUUGUCAUGCCAAUGGCACUGCCCGGUAGCUAAAUGCGGAAGAGAUAAGUGCUGAAAGCAUCUAAGCACGAAACUUGCCCCGAGAUGAGUUCUCCCUGACUCCUUGAGAGUCCUGAAGGAACGUUGAAGACGACGACGUUGAUAGGCCGG